AUGACGUACCUGUCACGGACGCUCUCCCGGGCCGGCCUGAUGCAGCCGUCGGGGCCUCGCCGGAUUAUGAGGACGCAGACCGCCGUCAACCUCGGCGAGCCCAUCUUUGACAGUGAGGUGGUGCUGUCGUCGCUCGUGGAGAUCGCACCCAUCCUCCGUGUCGCCAAAGAGGUCGAGACGGGCAACCCCCGCAUCGCCUACCUCUGUAAGCUACCAUUCCUCUCCUCUGGUUUUUUCAGCACUGCUACACGGAUACUGUCAGUCAACACAACACUCUGCUAA
Molecule: ribosomal RNA, 282 nt
Filed under: Triticum aestivum (bread wheat)
Lineage: Eukaryota; Viridiplantae; Streptophyta; Magnoliopsida; Poales; Poaceae
Description: partial small subunit ribosomal RNA
Source: RNAcentral